This 918-nucleotide ribosomal RNA is filed under the name Triticum aestivum (bread wheat). Its description in RNAcentral is "partial small subunit ribosomal RNA". The record is from RNAcentral. Lineage: Eukaryota; Viridiplantae; Streptophyta; Magnoliopsida; Poales; Poaceae.
AUGACGGUUGACAAGGAAAAACAUGAUGCUAAGAAAAGCACAGACGACUCAAAUAAGGAUGGAACGGAAACUGAACAAAAGGGCACAAUGGAGAAAGGGGGCAAAGAUAGCGAUUCCGUCAACAAAGCCAUCGAACACCUGUACAACGCUGUAUACAAGCGAUGGACAAAGAGAGAAAUGGAUGAGCUUUUCAUUACAACAGACAAGUUUGAUCUCAAUCUAGGCCAUGUCGCCAAAAGCUUCAAGGUCGGAAAAUCAGUACGCACCGAAGCAAUCGAGCCCAUGCUAACAAUCUUGAGAAAACAACUCAAUGGCACACGGAGAAAGAUUCUGUCAUUAAGCAACACUUUCCUUCUACCAUUUUCGUUGUGCGGGUUUGAGCAAGACGAAACUAUAAGUCAUUACUUCACCAUCACAGUUAACAUGCAAAAACAGCGCUUUGAACUCCUCGACUCUUCAACUGCAUAUCCAGGCACGAUAGAAUUCUUCAACAAUGUAACUAGCAAAUUAAUGAAAAUCUGGAAGCACAUAAGCACAGAGCUACAGCUUUCAGAAAAAAGCAUCGACCAUUUCAAAAAGGUCAAACUGCAGGUGCCACUUCAAGGAGAAGACACAAUGGACUGCGCAUUCUAUAUGUACAUGAACCUGAAGCACUACUCCAAUGAUGGAAUAGCGGCAACCUUAAAGCCAGAACAAGUACCAAAGUUGAGGAAAAAAAUUCUAUAUCAACUAAUCAGUCAACACAGAGGGAAUACCAAACUGUCACUAAUCAAGAGUACAACAGAUAUGCUGAAGUAUGAAGUAGAUAUGGAAUACAAAGAAAUGCAACAGGCAAAAUGUUGCGUACUAGAAGAGUUUCCGCCAACUCCCGAGCCAAAAGAACAUAUUAUGCGUGCGACAACCACAAAAGAGCAUUAA